UGCAGAAGGGCCAGCUCUCUGUGGCAGCGGAGCUGUCAAAGGACACCGGCCCUGUUGUUGUGUAUUUGGACGUUUCUGCCAGCGAUGAACCUUCAGGACACACAGCCACGGAGCUGCUUUCACACAUUGUCCCUCGGACGGCUGAAAAGCUCAGGGCCCUGUGCACAGGGGAGAAAGGCUCGUGGAUUCAGGAGUACCACGUUUCACAGGAUAGUUAGUGACUUCCUAUGUCAGAACCAGCAGUGGCAGCAACGAUGUCGAGACAACGACUUUCACAGGCAUGAGAAGUAAUGGAGAUGUGCACAGUUCUUCCAGCCGCUGUGCAAAGAGCGAAUCCAAACCAGCGCUCUUCUUUACAAGUCCCUUCAUGCUGUGAGGUUUCUGCCAACGGUGGGUGUGCUUACAACAGAGACAUGAGUUUUCUUUCAUUGUUAUUUUGUUCCAGGCGUGUACCUGGACAGAGCCCAGCAGUUCCAUGAUACCAUUGUGUCCGUGAUGCUUUCCUAGUGAAGGGAGUUUCACCUGGGUGAUACCUCCUUGUACAGCCAAAUGCACUGAA
Molecule: long non-coding RNA, 559 nt
Organism: Tympanuchus pallidicinctus (lesser prairie-chicken)
Lineage: Eukaryota; Metazoa; Chordata; Aves; Galliformes; Phasianidae
Exons: 3
Source: RefSeq, a predicted model, not a curated record